UACAGAGGGUGCAAACGUUGUUCGGAAUCACUGGGCCUAAAGCGUACGUAGGCGGCGCCGUAAGUGUCGGAUGAAAUCCCACGGCUUACCCGUGGAACGGUCCGGCAUACUGCGGUGCUAGAGGAUGGUAGAGGAGAGCGGAACUCUUGGUGGAGCGGUGAAAUGCGUAGAUAUCAAGAGGAACACCGGUGGCGAAGGCGGCUCUCUGGUCCAUGUCUGACGCUGAGGUACGAAAGCCAGGGGAGCAAACGGG
This 253-nucleotide ribosomal RNA is filed under the name uncultured bacterium. RNAcentral's name for it is "partial 16S ribosomal RNA". It matches the Rfam family "Bacterial small subunit ribosomal RNA", at positions 524 to 776 of the family's 1533-position model. The record is from RNAcentral.